GGCGCUAUCGUCUAGAGGCCUAGGACAGGUGGUUCUCAGCCAUCAGACCGGGGUUCGAAUCCCCGUAGCGCUGCCA
RNAcentral lists this transfer RNA (76 nucleotides) under Candidatus Aminicenantota bacterium. RNAcentral's name for it is "tRNA-Glu". It matches the Rfam family "tRNA". Rfam says of the family: Transfer RNA (tRNA) molecules are approximately 80 nucleotides in length. Their secondary structure includes four short double-helical elements and three loops (D, anti-codon, and T loops). Lineage: Bacteria; Candidatus Aminicenantota. RNAcentral also lists the same sequence under 1 other name. The record is from RNAcentral.